UCUGACCUCAAAUCAGGUAGGAUUACCCGCUGAACUUAAGCAUAUCAAUAAGCGGAGGAAAAGAAACUAACAAGGAUUCCCUUAGUAACUGCGAGUGAAGUGGGAAAAGCUCAAAUUUAAAAUCUGGCAGUCUGAUUUUUUAUCUUUGGCUGUCCGAGUUGUAAUCUAGAGAAGUGCUACCUGUACUGGA
Molecule: ribosomal RNA, 190 nt
Filed under: Amanita sp. 'semiobruta'
Lineage: Eukaryota; Fungi; Basidiomycota; Agaricomycetes; Agaricales; Amanitaceae
Description: partial 28S ribosomal RNA
Rfam family: Eukaryotic large subunit ribosomal RNA
Source: RNAcentral